GACGAACGCUGGCGGCGUGCUUAACACAUGCAAGUCGAACGGUGAAGCGCCUUCCUUUUUGGUGGGUGUGGAUGAGUGGCGAACGGGUGAGUAACACGUGAGUAGCCUGCCCCCUUCUUCUGGAUAACCGCAUGAAAGUGUGGCUAAUACGGGAUAUUCUGGGCCUGUCGCAUGAUGGGUCUGGGAAAGAUAUUGUUUCGGUGGGGGAUGGGCUCGCGGCCUAUCAGCUUGUUGGUGGGGUGAUGGCCUACCAAGGCGGUGACGGGUAGCCGGCCUGAGAGGGUGGACGGUCACACUGGGACUGGGACACGGCCCAGACUCCUACGGGAGGCAGCAGGGGGGAAUAUUGCACAAUGGGCGCAAGCCUGAUGCAGCGACGCCGCGUGAGGGAUGGAGGCCUUCGGGUUGUGAACCUCUUUCGCCAGUGAAGCAGGCCUGCCUCGUUUGUGGGUGGGUUGACGGUAGCUGGAUAAGAAGCGCCGGCUAACUACGUG
RNAcentral lists this ribosomal RNA (494 nucleotides) under uncultured bacterium. Its description in RNAcentral is "partial 16S ribosomal RNA". It matches the Rfam family "Bacterial small subunit ribosomal RNA", at positions 28 to 507 of the family's 1533-position model. The record is from RNAcentral.